GGCGGAGUUGCAGAGGGAGGAGGAGAGGCAGGAGGAGGAGCAGCAGAGCGAAGAGAGCGUGAAGUUGUUUGUAGGUCAAGUACCGAAGCACAUGACGGAAUCACAACUUGUCGAAAUGUUUCAAGAGUUUGCUAUUGUUGAUGAAGUCAACAUCAUCAAAGACAAAACUACGCGUGCUUCUCGAGGUUCUCAAAUUUAUGUCACUCACUUCCUCUAUCACUACUUCUCCGC
This 231-nucleotide unclassified non-coding RNA is filed under the name Hevea brasiliensis (rubber tree). Lineage: Eukaryota; Viridiplantae; Streptophyta; Magnoliopsida; Malpighiales; Euphorbiaceae. The record is from RNAcentral.